GAGUAAUAUAUCGGAACGUGCCCUGGAGUGGGGGAUAACUAGUCGAAAGACUAGCUAAUACCGCAUACGAUCUAUGGAUGAAAGUGGGGGAUCGCAAGACCUCAUGCUCGUGGAGCGGCCGAUAUCUGAUUAGCUAGUUGGUGGGGUAAAAGCCUACCAAGGCAUCGAUCAGUAGCUGGUCUGAGAGGACGACCAGCCACACUGGGACUGAGACACGGCCCAGACUCCUACGGGAGGCAGCAGUGGGGAAUUUUGGACAAUGGGGGCAACCCUGAUCCAGCAAUGCCGCGUGAGUGAAGAAGGCCUUCGGGUUGUAAAGCUCUUUUGUCAGGGAAGAAACGGUUCUGGCUAAUACCCGGAGCUAAUGACGGUACCUGAGGAAUAAGCACCGGCUAACUACGUGCCAGCAGCCGCGGUAAUACGUAGGGUGCGAGCGUUAAUCGGAAUUACUGGGCGUAAAGCGUGCGCAGGCGGUUGUGCAAGACAGAUGUGAAAUCCCCGGGCUCAACCUGGGAAUUGCAUUUGUGACUGCACGGCUAGAGUGUGUCAGAGGGGGGUAGAAUUCCACGUGUAGCAGUGAAAUGCGU
Molecule: ribosomal RNA, 587 nt
Filed under: uncultured Herbaspirillum sp.
Lineage: Bacteria; Pseudomonadati; Pseudomonadota; Betaproteobacteria; Burkholderiales; Oxalobacteraceae
Description: bacterial SSU rRNA
Rfam family: Bacterial small subunit ribosomal RNA
Source: RNAcentral